Long non-coding RNA from Maniola jurtina (meadow brown), 111 nucleotides. RefSeq lists it as uncharacterized. The record is from RefSeq and is a predicted model, not a curated record. The transcript has 3 exons. NCBI's taxonomy places the organism in Eukaryota, Metazoa, Arthropoda, Insecta, Lepidoptera, Nymphalidae.
AGUAUAUUGUUCCAAUUAGUAGAGUGCACUAAAAAUUUGUCUCUAAAUUUAAAAUUAACUUUCUUCUUUUUUCUUAGCAAUUUUAAAAAGAAAAAGAUGCAGAUACUCUAA